This 253-nucleotide ribosomal RNA is filed under the name uncultured bacterium. Its description in RNAcentral is "partial 16S ribosomal RNA". It matches the Rfam family "Bacterial small subunit ribosomal RNA", at positions 524 to 776 of the family's 1533-position model. The record is from RNAcentral.
UACGUAGGGGGCUAGCGUUGUCCGGAAUCAUUGGGCGUAAAGAGCGCGUAGGCGGCCCGGUAAGUCCGCUCUGAAAGUCAAAGGCUCAACCUUUGAAAGCGGGUGGAUACUGCCGGGCUAGAGUCCGGAAGAGGCGAGUGGAAUUCCUGGUGUAGCGGUGGAAUGCGCAGAUAUCAGGAGGAACACCAACGGCGAAGGCAGCUCGCUAGGACGGUACUGACGCUGAGGCGCGAAAGCGUGGGGAGCGAACAGG